GACGAACGCUGGCGGCGUGCUUAACACAUGCAAGUCGAACGGAAAGGCCCCUUUGGGGGUCCUCGAGUGGCGAACGGGUGAGUAACACGUGAGUAACCUGCCCUUGACUUCGGGAUAACUUCAGGAAACUGGGGCUAAUACCGGAUAGGAAUCCUUGCUGCAUGGUGGGGGUUGGAAAGCUUCGGCGGUUUUGGAUGGACUCGCGGCUUAUCAGCUUGUUGGUGGGGUAGUGGCUUACCAAGGCUUUGACGGGUAGCCGGCCUGAGAGGGCGACCGGCCACAUUGGGACUGAGAUACGGCCCAGACUCCUACGGGAGGCAGCAGUGGGGAAUAUUGCACAAUGGGCGGAAGCCUGAUGCAGCAACGCCGCGUGCGGGAUGACGGCCUUCGGGUUGUAAACCGCGUUCAGCAGGGGCGAAGCUUGUGGUGACGGUACCUGCAGAAGAAGCACCGGCUAACUACGUG
RNAcentral lists this ribosomal RNA (465 nucleotides) under uncultured bacterium. Its description in RNAcentral is "partial 16S ribosomal RNA". It matches the Rfam family "Bacterial small subunit ribosomal RNA", at positions 28 to 507 of the family's 1533-position model. The record is from RNAcentral.